GCCGACGUAGCACAAUUGGCAGUGCAACUGACUUGUAAUCAGUAGGUUGGGGGUUCAAGUCCCUCCGUCGGCACCA
This 76-nucleotide transfer RNA is filed under the name Gammaproteobacteria bacterium RBG_16_57_12. Its description in RNAcentral is "tRNA-Thr". It matches the Rfam family "tRNA". Rfam says of the family: Transfer RNA (tRNA) molecules are approximately 80 nucleotides in length. Their secondary structure includes four short double-helical elements and three loops (D, anti-codon, and T loops). Lineage: Bacteria; Pseudomonadati; Pseudomonadota; Gammaproteobacteria. The record is from RNAcentral.